GACGAACGCUGGCGGCGUGCUUAACACAUGCAAGUCGAACGGAAAGGCCCUGCUUUUGUGGGGUGCUCGAGUGGCGAACGGGUGAGUAACACGUGAGUAACCUGCCCUUGACUUUGGGAUAACUUCAGGAAACUGGGGCUAAUACCGGAUAGGAGCUCCUGCUGCAUGGUGGGGGUUGGAAAGUUUCGGCGGUUGGGGAUGGACUCGCGGCUUAUCAGCUUGUUGGUGGGGUAGUGGCUUACCAAGGCUUUGACGGGUAGCCGGCCUGAGAGGGUGACCGGCCACAUUGGGACUGAGAUACGGCCCAGACUCCUACGGGAGGCAGCAGUGGGGAAUAUUGCACAAUGGGCGGAAGCCUGAUGCAGCAACGCCGCGUGCGGGAUGACGGCCUACGGGUUGUAAACCGCUUUCGCCUGUGACGAAGCGUGAGUGUCGGUAAUGGGUAAAGAAGCACCGGCUAACUACGUG
RNAcentral lists this ribosomal RNA (468 nucleotides) under uncultured bacterium. RNAcentral describes it as "partial 16S ribosomal RNA". It matches the Rfam family "Bacterial small subunit ribosomal RNA", at positions 28 to 507 of the family's 1533-position model. The record is from RNAcentral.